CUCUCGGUGGGCGGGGAAAAAGAGAUCGCGCAUGCGUACCACAGCUUGACCGACCGCACCACGGGCGUGCGCACAACGAGGCUGAAGCCUUCUUCAGGACGGAACGGGGAAAUCCCCGGAUGAAACUAAGUAAGGCAAGGAGGAACGAGGCAGAGAAAAGCCGGCGCAUGCGUACAAAGCAGUAUCCAGGAGGGAAGGCGAAAAGGGCUUUCCUCUGCUGCUGCUUCUUGAAUGCGCAGGCGCGGAAAAGGGAAAGAGUGGCGGAAGGGCUUAAAAUCAAGUCGAUCGGCAGCGCCAUGACAGGGGAGGGGCUAAUUGAGGCGAAAUGAGAAAGGGAUAGAGUGUGGCGGAAGUGAAGCCACACUCUUAAGAGUGGCCCGAGGACGCAUGCGCGGUUGAGAAAAGGCGGGAAACCACCUCUUUCUUCAAUAACAAUGGAAGAUGAAAAUGCCACUCUUGGGCUAAACCCGCAAUGAUAUACAUGGAGCACACAUUUGCAGGGAGAGGCCUCUGGAAAUGAACUGCCACGAAAGAGACUGCACAGCGAAAAGGCAAAUGUAUUUAUUGCACUCAUCAACGAGCAAGAAGCACCCGGAAUAUAUUGCAGCAUAGAAAAGGCACCGUAUGGCUUUUAAGGUCCAUUCAAGAGAGCCAAGCCCCCCAAAAGCAGCAGUAAGUGAUACUUAAGGCAGAACAUUGUACUAGAUAUGUGCAAACUUCAGCCCUCCGGGUGUUUUGGACUCCAAUGCCCAACAUUCCUAACACCCUCAGGCCCCUUAAAUUAAAUUGAAAAAAAAAUCCAAAGUAAUUUAUGAAUGUAAUUUAUGAAUGUUUAGUAUCUUUAAACAGUUUGAACAGUUAUAAACUAACAUAAAAAGCCAAGACACUUCAAAAUACAAGUUCACAGGCAAAGACCACCGUAAGCAAUGGUCUUUUCACAGCAACCAAGCUACACAUGCAGGGGUGUAUAUUAGUUCAGAAUGUAUGUACGAUUUGUUAUGUAUUUAAUGAAAACUGAGCUAUAAAGUGGGGUUAAGCUUCCACUAAUUAUUUGGCACACAUGUAAAAUUUUCCUAUAAUUGGCAAAUUAACCCAAUGCAGUAUGGUUUAUUAAAAGUAAUAAACUCUCACACUGAGACUGCCAAUACCAGUUCAGACAUGAUCCUGACAAAUGGGAGAUUUCAAAAGUGUGUUCAAAACAAACAUAACUUAACUCCUGAUAAUAACUUUAGUUAUUAAUACUUUUCUUCAACACUAAAUAUUGGAAUAUGGCUCACUGCAGAAAAAAGGUACAAACAGAUUUUAGAACUAUGCCAGGCACAGAAAUAUCAAAUCAGUCCCAUGGAACUUAUGCCCCACUUUGUUAAAAAUAUCUUAAAUUUUUAAACUAAAAAAAAUCCAAAAGAGUAAUUUAGGAAUGUUUAGUAUCUUUAAACAGUAUGAACAGUUAUAAACUAACUUGCUUAAGCAGCCGAGGGGGAAAAGGAAGGGGCCUGAGGCUGUUAGGAAUGCUGGGAGUUGGAGUCCAAAACACCCGGAGGGCUGAAGUUUGCCCAUGCCUCGCCUACACUGACAAUACAAUGCAGUUCAAGCUUCCACUGCAAGGCACUCUGUGGAAUACAAUACAGAGUGGGAAAAUAAUUCAUGUUCAGAAUCCCAAAAAUAAUAAUAAUAAUAUACAAAAAUAUUUUUAAAAUAGUGUUUCCAAGCUUCCGCGCAUCGGAAAGCCAUAAGAUGUGGUUCUGAAGCUACAGCGAUAGGAGUUGGAACAUGUGGCUCUGGGAUGUAAACAAUGGGAAGGAAGGAAGCGUAGUGGUCAGCUCCCGCAUCCUGUGACCUUCUGGAAUGUUUUGAAGAGAGUGAUGGUCAAGAGGGCUUGAUACACAUCUGGUUCUCAUCCAGGUGUGCGCAGUGCUGGUGUGAACGGAGCAAGGCUGGACACGGCCCGACAGUCCGGCUGAAGUUGGUGAAAGGCAGCACCGUGUCCUUCAGAGCAAUGGUCAACGGCAGCAUCCAAUGGCGAAGUCCCAGGCAAAAGUGCGGCUUCAUGUCCAGACCUCGACGGGGAUCAUGCCCUCCUUGCUCCCGAGGGGUGGCAGGAGGGACUCCUCGGCCAGGAAGUCCAGCGGGAAGCGCACCAGGUGUCCCUUGACCUUCUGCAGCUCGUCCCGAGCGAUGAUGGGACUGGCCGAGGACAGGCUCUCCACGGCCACGUACUCCCGCAGGACACGCUGGGACGGGACCGCAUCCGUGGGCAGGCAGCGGAAGACCUGUUUCGCCACAAGGUAAGAAGGAGGGAUAGGAAGGAAGGAAGGAAGGAAGAAGGAAAGGAGGAUGGAGAGAGGAAAGGAGGAAGGGGAUACAGAGAGGAAAGAAGGAAGGACAGAAGGAGGAUGAAGAGAGGAAAGAAGGAUGGAUGAAAGGGAGGGAGGGGGAAAUGGAGGAAGGAAAGAAUGAAAGUGAUAGAGAAUAGAAGGAAGGAUGGAUGGAUGGAAGGAAGGGAGGGAGGAAGAAGGGGAUGAUGAAAAGAGAAAGGGAGGGAAGGGAUAGAGGAAAGAAGGAA
This is a long non-coding RNA of Anolis carolinensis (green anole), 2563 nucleotides long. RefSeq lists it as uncharacterized. Lineage: Eukaryota; Metazoa; Chordata; Lepidosauria; Squamata; Anolidae. The record is from RefSeq and is a predicted model, not a curated record. The transcript has 2 exons.